This 406-nucleotide ribosomal RNA is filed under the name uncultured bacterium. RNAcentral describes it as "partial 16S ribosomal RNA". It matches the Rfam family "Bacterial small subunit ribosomal RNA", at positions 29 to 526 of the family's 1533-position model. The record is from RNAcentral.
AUUGAACGCUGGCGGCAGGCCUAACUCAUGCAAGUCGAGCGAGCGGCGGACGGGUGAGUAAUGUCUGGGAAACUGCCUGUUGGAGGGGGAUAACUACUGUAUACGGUAGCUAAUACCGCAUUCCAUCAGAUGUGCCCAGAUGGGAUUAGCUAGUUGGUGGGGUAACGGCUCACCUAGGCGACGAUCCCUAGCUGGUCUGACAGGAUGACCAGGAAAACUGGAACUGAGACAGGGUCAAGAAGGGUAAGGGAGGAAGCAGGGGGGAAUAUUGCAAAAGGGGGGAAAGCCUGAGAAAGCGAUGCCGCGUGUGUGAAGAAGGCCUUGGGGUUGAAAAGCACUUUCAGCGGGGAGGCGUUACCCGAAGAAGAAGCACCGGCUAACUCCGUGCCAGCAGCCGCGGUAAUUC